RNAcentral lists this ribosomal RNA (113 nucleotides) under uncultured Bacteroidota bacterium. Its description in RNAcentral is "uncultured Bacteroidetes bacterium partial 23S ribosomal RNA". It matches the Rfam family "Bacterial large subunit ribosomal RNA", at positions 1 to 113 of the family's 2925-position model. The record is from RNAcentral. Lineage: Bacteria; Pseudomonadati; Bacteroidota.
AAAGAAGUAAAUAAGGGCGUAUGGUGGAUGCCUAGGCUCUCAGAGGCGAAGAAGGACGUGAUAAGCUGCGAUAAGCCGAGGUGAGGUGCAAAUAACCUAUUAACCUUGGAUUU